This 322-nucleotide ribosomal RNA is filed under the name uncultured eukaryote. RNAcentral describes it as "partial 18S ribosomal RNA". It matches the Rfam family "Eukaryotic small subunit ribosomal RNA", at positions 1470 to 1796 of the family's 1831-position model. The record is from RNAcentral.
CCCUUAGAUGUUCUGGGCCGCACGCGUGCUACACUGAGGGGAUCAGCGGGUCAGGUUGCGCGAAAGUGUUUCCUAAUCUUGAAAUCCGCUCGUGAUGGGGAUUGACGGUUGCAAUUUUCCGUCAUGAACGAGGAAUACCUUGUAAGCGCGGGUCAUCAUCCCGCGCUGAAUACGUCCCUGCCCUUUGUACACACCGCCCGUCGCUCCUACCGAUUGAGUGGUCCGGUGAGGCUUUGGGAUCUGAGCGGAAAGAGCGUUUCGCUGUUUCUGCUCGGAAAACUCAGUCGAACCUUAUCAUUUAGAGGAAGGAGAAGUCGUAACA